GAUGAACGCUAGCUACAGGCUUAACACAUGCAAGUCGAGGGGAAACGACAUCGAAAGCUUGCUUUUGAUGGGCGUCGACCGGCGCACGGGUGAGUAACGCGUAUCCAACCUGCCCACCACUUGGGGAUAACCUUGCGAAAGUAAGACUAAUACCCAAUGAUAUCUCUAGAAGACAUCUGAAAGAGAUUAAAGAUUUAUCGGUGAUGGAUGGGGAUGCGUCUGAUUAGCUUGUUGGCGGGGUAACGGCCCACCAAGGCUACGAUCAGUAGGGGUUCUGAGAGGAAGGUCCACCACAUUGGAACUGAGACACGGUCCAAACCCCUACGGGAGGCAGCAGUGAGGAAUAUUGGUCAAUGGACGAGAGUCUGAACCAGCCAAGUAGCGUGCAGGAUGACGGCCCUAUGGGUUGUAAACUGCUUUUAUAAGGGAAUAAAGUGAGUCUCGUGAGACUUUUUGCAUGUACCUUAUGAAUAAGGACCGGCUAAUUCCGUGCCAGCCGCCGCUGUAA
RNAcentral lists this ribosomal RNA (508 nucleotides) under uncultured bacterium. Its description in RNAcentral is "partial 16S ribosomal RNA". It matches the Rfam family "Bacterial small subunit ribosomal RNA", at positions 28 to 523 of the family's 1533-position model. The record is from RNAcentral.